RNAcentral lists this ribosomal RNA (493 nucleotides) under uncultured bacterium. RNAcentral describes it as "partial 16S ribosomal RNA". It matches the Rfam family "Bacterial small subunit ribosomal RNA", at positions 30 to 523 of the family's 1533-position model. The record is from RNAcentral.
AUUGAACGCUGGCGGCAUGCCUUACACAUGCAAGUUGAACGGUAACAGGUUAAGCUGACGAGUGGCGAACGGGUGAGUAAUGUAUCGGAACGUGCCCAGUCGUGGGGGAUAACUGCUCGAAAGAGCAGCUAAUACCGCAUACGACCUGAGGGUGAAAGCGGGGGAUCGCAAGACCUCGCGCGAUUGGAGCGGCCGAUAUCAGAUUAGGUAGUUGGUGAGGUAAAGGCUCACCAAGCCGACGAUCUGUAGCUGGUCUGAGAGGACGACCAGCCACACUGGGAAUGAGACGCGGCCCAGACUCCUACGGGAGGCAGCAGUGGGGAAUUUUGGACAAUGGGCGCAAGCCUGAUCCAGCCAUGCCGCGUGCGGGAAGAAGGCCUUCGGGUUGUAAACCGCUUUUGUCAGGGAAGAAAAGGUUCUGGCUAAUACCUGGGACUCAUGACGGUACCUGAAGAAUAAGCACCGGCUAACUACGUGCCAGCAGCCGCGGUAA